CUGCUGGAGGGAGGCGGCGGAGAAGCAGCAGAGAAAAUGGCGGCUAUGGCUGCGGAGGCGGCGGCGACUGCAGCGGUGCCGGGCGAUGGGGGGGCGGGCGAAGCCGAGCCCGAGAUGGAGCCCAUCCCGGGCAGCGAGGCCGGCGCGGACCCUCCUCCCGCCGUCACCGAGGCCGUGGAGUCGGCGGUGCCCGACGGGGAGGAGGCCGACGGGGGAAAGGGUGCUCCCGGCGAGGCCGAGGAGCCGCCGCCCGUGCAGCUCGCCCGGAGCCCGGCCGGGACGCGGGAGCCGGAAGCCGAAAGGACGGAGACGCCGCCGCCCUCCAGCCCGGAGGUGGGUUCGCCGCAGGCCGAGCUCCGGGGAGCGGUCAGCCCGGAGCCCGAGGAGCGGCCGCAGCCCUGCCCGCCGCCCGCCGCGCAUCCCCAACUUCUCGAGGAGCGGCCGCAGCCCUGCCCUACGGCUGCCGGGGGCUCCGUGAAGCGGGAGCCCGGGGAGGAGCCGUCCCGGCCGGAGGAGGAGGAGCCGGAUGCUGCCGCCGCUGCGGAGCCCGAGCGCCCGCUGCCCGCGGCCCCGACCGGGGGGGAGGCGGAGGCGCCGCUGCUGCCCGGCUCCGAGGUGCGGGUCACCCUGGAUCACAUCAUCGAGGACGCCCUGGUGGUCUCGUUCCGGCUGGGAGAGAAGCUGUUCUCCGGGGUCCUCAUGGACCUCUCGAAAAGGUUUGAUAUAAAAAGUAGCUUCUGCCUCAUCCCAGAAGAUGCUAUGGCUUCCCACUCAUUACCUUCCAGUUGGUUUGGACCUCACGGAAUCCCUGUGACCAUAUUUCCUAAAAGGGAAUACAAGGAUAAACCCGAAGCCAUGCAGCUCCAAAGUAAACCAUUCCAAGAUGAGGCACAGGUGAAGUGUGAAUCUAAUGCUGCAGUCCCAGAUGACUCUUCUCUCACGCAGCCAUCAGAACCAAGCUUAGCUAAAAGCCUAUGGACUUCUAAACCACCUCCUCUCUUCCAUGAGGGAGCGCCAUAUCCUCCUCCUUUGUUUAUCAGGGACACGUAUAACCAGUCAAUACCUCAGCCUCCGCCCCGGAAAAUUAAGCGGCCCAAGCGUAAAAUGUACAGGGAGGAACCCACUUCUAUUAUGAAUGCUAUCAAACUACGACCCCGACAGGUCUUAUGUGACAAGUGCAAAAACAGUGUUGUUGCGGAAAAAAAGGAAAUAAAAAAAGGUGGCAAUGCAAGUGACUCUUCAAAAUACGAGGAUAAUAAAAAACGAAGAAACGAGAGCGUGACUACUGUGAAUAAAAAACUUAAGACUGACCACAAGGUGGAUGGAAAAAGCCAAAAUGAAAGCCAGAAAAGGAAUGCUGUGGUCAAGGUUUCAAAUAUUGCCCACAGCAGAAGCAGAGUAGUUAAAGUUACUGCACAAGCAAAUACUUCAAAAGCGCAGUUAAAUACAAAAAAAGUUCUCCAGAGCAAAAACAUGGAUCAUGCAAAAGCUCGGGAAGUCUUGAAAAUGGCCAAAGAAAAGGCACAAAAGAAGCAGAGUGCAACCUCCUCUUCCAAAAAUGCACAUUCAAAGGUCCACUUCACACGGCGUCUUCAGAACACCAGCUCAGGUUCCCUCCCGCCCCGAUUGCGUUUAAAGCCACAAAGAUAUCGGAAUGAAGAAAAUGACUCUUCUCUCAAGACAGGACUUGAGAAAAUACGGAGUGGCAAGAUGGCAACUAAGCCGCAGUCUCGCUGCUCCUCCACCCGCUCAGCAGGUCUGAUGCGGAAGCUGGAGCCAGCCUGAGUGCUGGCAGAGGAACAGAGGAAGUCAGCUCUCCUGGGUAUUCCGCUCCCAUCCCAACGUGAAGAGGGAAAGAGAAGUAAGAUGAAACAAGGGCUGGGAACUGAGGACAGACAACACCAAGUGGAAAAGAGGCACGUAUGCUAAAAACACAAGGGUGAGUAACUACUGGAACAAAUCAGUAAGAGAUGUUGUUGGUUUAGAGCAUUUAUGUUUAAAAGAUUGCUGCAUAAAGCAUUUUUUCCUAUUAGAGGUUGUAAACCCAAUGCAUGUGACUCAAAACCCUGGCAAUGCAGUGGAUUUGUGGCCAUUUACAACAGGAGGAAGUACCAAUUACCUUUCUCUUGGCAGCUGUGAUGACUAGUUUAGACAUUAAAAAAAAAUCCCUUUAAAAAUAAAAACCAAACCAAAACAAAAAAGGCAGCUGGUUCAGGAUGCGGACAAUACAAAAGAGCUUCCAUCAGUAAAUUAAUUGGUGUUUUACCUGGUAGAAAACUUGUGGUAAUGUUAAAUAACACAGUCCAGAGAUUUCUGUUCUAGCCAGAGAGUGGCACUUCGAGUAGGAAUGACCUACAGAUCAGUCCUCUCUAAUGGUGUGCACAGCUUCCAGUGACAUUAAGCUGUCUCUUUCACACAAUGCAAUUAAAUUACAAACAAGUAUGAAAAGCAAAUCAGCUGCAAUUCUUCAGCUCCACGUUUUCUACCCUUCGUUUUAAAACUAUAGGUACACAGCAGGCAUCCAGCAGGGAAGUUGCACAGCAGGUAGAAAUAUCAAAAGUUUUGUUGUGCUUUUAUUUUCCUGAAUAAGCUACCCAGCCUCUGCCCAAGAAGGCCUUUAGAGAUAAGAAGCAGGAGCAGAAUGGCAGGAAGAGCAUAAGUCACCAAACUCAUUUGUAAGACAAAGCAGCAGACUGCUAAAUCACUGCCUGUAACUUUGCACAACAGCCAUACACUGGUAAAUAAACACAGAAGGCUGAGUAAAGAUAACAAUUAAUUGGUAAUCAAGAUACAAAGAAAAUUUUAAGUGUCCACAGUAGCUUCAAAGUGGUUCGAUUUAUGCAUGGUCUAGGGGUAUGUGCUGCAGUUGAGUGAAGGCUGGGGUUCAGAUCUAAGCUGCCUCGCAUUCAGUGAUAGAGGACUGUUGCUAAACACGACAAAACCCUGGAUGCACUCCUUUCCCCAGGCCAGGAGUCAGCUGGUGAAAUUCAAGUCAGUGGACUGCCUUGCUCCAGAUGCAGCCACACUGCUCUGCUUCCAGGGCCAGACACUUCUACAGUGUCAGGCGGUGCGGAGUCGGCAACAGCACCAAUGGACAUCUCUACCUGUCAUGUGCUGAACUAGAAGCUUUGGCAAGGUGUGAUUCAGACAUUCCUGAGUGACUUCUCAGUUUGGGCUCAAACCAAGCUUAUGAGCUCCAGCUCAACACCGCCUCUGCCCAGGGUUCCUUUGGAGCCUCUGCUCCCUAGUACUCCAGGUCUCGGGGAAAAUUAGUGAGAUUUAUACCAGUCUCAAUACUCUGCUCCAGCUAAUAAGCCUUCCAUGGGUCUAAAGAGCUCAGUACUGAAAGCAGUGUUACAUUUCUGAAGGCAGAGCUGCCAGCUCUGAGCCAGUUAAUUAGCUUAUCCGGACCUGCAGAGCCUCUCGGGUGUGAGCACACUUCUCUCCCAGUACAUUCCCUCGUACCCUCACUGCACUGCCCAGAUAAGCUCAGCCCUCUACCACUGGGAGUGGAGGGGGUGAGCAAAUGACUGCAUGGUGCUGAGCUACCACUCGGGUUAACCCAUAGCACCGGGAGCAGCAUCUUUCUUUAAAACCUCCCAUCUCUACACCUACCAGACUGCCCAAUUUUAGUAAAGGAAAUCAAACCUUGCAUUGUAGGAACUGUACUCCAGUAAAACAUGACAUAGUUAUUGUUUCUUAGCACAUGGAAAUCCUAGAGGCUGUAUGCUUUUGUUUAGUUAAGUGACAUUUUAAUAACGCAGAAGAUGUUAAAGGCAGCACAGUCCUUAUUGUGAAUUUGGGUUUCUCUCUUGGCAAUGACACUUGAAUUCCCACAGAUGUAACACCAUCUCACUGCAGACAUGACAUAGUUGAUAAAUAGUUAACCACAAAGUCAGAACUAAAAAUGCACCAGGACAGAGUUAAACAACAAUCAAAAACAAACAACAAACCCCACAUCUCUAAGUCUGCACUGUCAAAAUGGAAGAAAAAAAAAAAGCACCAGAAAGCUUAGCUUGAGAGUAUUCCCUUCAGGCAUAUCACUGUAAAGACUGGAGCUCAAAACAUGCAACUAGUGCAAUUUCAGUCUUUAAGUACACACAAGAAGAUUUCUUGAAAUAAAUUUAAGAUGACAACUAAUAGCCAAUGGAGAGCUACCAGUAAUUAUUUAAUUAAAUUGUGUUUUGAAAUCUGCCUCCCAUGUAAACAUUUCAACACUGAUAUAGAAAAAACCAGUAUGCAGUAAUUACAAAAGACACCCAUUCUCCAAAAUCUGAGUGAAGUACUUGAAAAACACUUUUGUUUUUUUUAUAGCUCUCUAUAAAUCAAUGCUUCAGCAUUCUCAAAGCCUAUUACAUCACAAGGAACUUUUGCAAUCAAUUUUAAUGUCAAUUGUUGGCCAUUAUGGGGAUCUGUAACAUGAAUAAAUCUCAGGGAAGCAGAUCUCCCUGACUUUAUAGGACCUUUACAAGGUGUAUACA
This is an RNA transcript of Numida meleagris (helmeted guineafowl), 4481 nucleotides long. It is a transcript of the gene named PWWP domain containing 2A, with no coding region annotated. The transcript is spliced from 5 exons. Lineage: Eukaryota; Metazoa; Chordata; Aves; Galliformes; Numididae. The record is from RefSeq and is a predicted model, not a curated record.